Brassica oleracea var. oleracea is the source of this 2042-nucleotide long non-coding RNA. RefSeq lists it as uncharacterized. NCBI's taxonomy places the organism in Eukaryota, Viridiplantae, Streptophyta, Magnoliopsida, Brassicales, Brassicaceae. The record is from RefSeq and is a predicted model, not a curated record. The transcript has 3 exons.
UGGUAAAGUCAGAAACCUCGGCUGUAGUAGGGUUUUCUGAACCUAUUUCGAAAGAGGUGUAUGUACCCCUAAAUUUGUCUUUACUGUGAAGUUUGUCGUUAGGUGCUCACUGGCUUCGGUUGGACGUGUUCGGAUUGGGCCAAGCCGAGUUUCUAUUAGGCCGAAAGGAUUACAAAGUCCAAGAAUGAGCUCGGCUCUCUACGAGUGCGAGCUAAAGAGUUUGUUACAAAAGCGGGUCCUACCCCAUAUCAACCAUCGCCGACUUCAACAUUCAGAAGAGAGUAACGGAGGAAGAGAGUAGAGAGAGAAGUAUCACAGAGGAGAGAGAGAGCUUAGCGAGAUAGAGAGAUCCGAUCCUGAUCACAGCUCUGGAGUCCACAAAGCUUUCUCUGGUUCCGUUUACGUGUCCUUGUCGUCUUCCAAGGAAUCAAAAGCUGAGGGGUCGUCUUCUUCUUUGUAAUUGAUGUGGUAUUCUUCUCCGGGAUUGGGAUAUAUCUAAACAACUUCUACUAAAGAAGAAACUGAUGUGGAUACCAGUACUAAAAAAGAGAGAAAGAAGGAUCCUAUGGCUAAGGAGAAGACACGAGAGCUAGAAACCUUAUUUGUUCGAGUUUGACAAAUAUGGUGUUGAGGAAGGUGAUGAAAGAGACGACUGUUAUGGGAGUUUGGAAGGUGAUUCUCAGACUAGGACACCUUUUUGAAGCUUGUUUAUGGUCUCACAAGUCUGGACAUAAAUGUUUCAGAUGAGGAUCAAGCAAUAUAGAUCCUCCCCAAUCUUCCACCACAAUACAAAUCCUUGGUUCAUACACUCACUACAAGAAUAUCGAGUAUUCAUAGCACACCAGUAUAUAGCGUUUUUUUUUUUUUGCUAUGGUUUACGACACGCGGAUUUUUGUAUAGCGUUUGGUUUUAAUGAAACGCUAUCUUUAGAUAUACGGUUUAUAUUCACUAAGAUUAAUCGAUUUAGGGUUUUCAUCUGUUAGAUAUAUGGUUUAUAUUCACUAAGAUUAAUCGAUUUAGGGUUCUUCAAUUUCGUCAUCAAGUUUUGUUCUAACUAAUACUCGAUGCUUCUUAAUCUGCAGAUAUCUUCUCAAAUCAAAGGAGUACACUUAUUUUAGGGGUGAGUUUCUCGUUCCUUCGAUAUUGUUAUGAGAUUUUAGUUUUCUGUUUCAGUGUAGUGAUUUACAUAUACCGUGUGUGAUAUACGCAACCUUACUCGUGUAUUGUACGUACGCUUGGAUCUGGAGCACUGUUUUAUUUAACAAUGGACAAGAAUUGGGUUUGGCUACCAAGGAAGGAGCAUUUGCUUUUGUGAAAGAAAUAGCUUUGAGAUUGGGUCAUCCGAGUGAUUUGUUGUGUCCCUGCAUUGACUGCCGCAACUUGUAUCAUCAGCCAACAGAUACAGUGGUGGAUCAGUUAAUCAUCAAGGGUAUGGACCAGAAAUACAAGAGGAAGGAGAGUUAGUUUGAACAUGGAGAUGUGAAGGCUGAUAAGCCAUCAGAUAUCGGAAGUGAAGAGUAUGUAGCUUAUGACUUGUUCAGAACUGCUUUCUUUGAUGGUGAAGCUCCACAGCCCCAUAACGACGAUGAAGUUCAGAUAGAAGAAGGUGACAGUAAAGAGGAAUCUGAGUUUAGGAAGAAACUGGAAGAUGCUGAAACUCCACUAUAUUCUAGAUGUCCCAACUACACGAAGGUUUCAGCAAUUAUGGCGCUUUACCGCAUCAAAUUUAAGUGUGGUAUGUCUGAGAAUUACUUCGACCAGAUGAUUAUGCGUUUAAGCACCCACCAAUUAACCUAAUGUGCCAACAAUACCACAAUCGAAUGGUAUGUCAUUGUAGCAUUUUAGGAUCGAAUCCACAGAGAACUAGAGACUUAUAACACCAAGAAUACACAAACCUUCCUAAUCUAAGCAAACAAGAAGAUAGAUGAUUUGUAACAAACUAAUAUCCUAGAAAUAUAAACAAGGUGAUCUCAAAUCCAAUCAAGAAAUAAGUGCAAGAAUUCAAUCAAAUACUAAGGAUGGAUCCAUGGUAAGGAUAAUUG